RNAcentral lists this ribosomal RNA (466 nucleotides) under uncultured bacterium. RNAcentral's name for it is "partial 16S ribosomal RNA". It matches the Rfam family "Bacterial small subunit ribosomal RNA", at positions 28 to 507 of the family's 1533-position model. The record is from RNAcentral.
GAUGAACGCUGGCGGCGUGCUUAACACAUGCAAGUCGAACGGUGAAAGAGAGCUUGCUCUCUGGAUCAGUGGCGAACGGGUGAGUAACACGUGAGCAAUCUGCCCCUGACUCUGGGAUAAGCGCUGGAAACGGCGUCUAAUACCGGAUACGAGCUGCGAAGGCAUCUUCAGCAGCUGGAAAGAACUUCGGUCAGGGAUGAGCUCGCGGCCUAUCAGCUAGUUGGUGAGGUAACGGCUCACCAAGGCGUCGACGGGUAGCCGGCCUGAGAGGGUGACCGGCCACACUGGGACUGAGACACGGCCCAGACUCCUACGGGAGGCAGCAGUGGGGAAUACUGCACAAUGGGCGAAAGCCUGAUGCAGCAACGCCGCGUGAGGGACGACGGCCUUCGGGUUGUAAACCUCUUUUAGCAGGGAAGAAGCGAAAGUGACGGUACCUGCAGAAAAAGCACCGGCUAACUACGUG